UUUUUUUUUUGCAUACUAUCUAAGUCUGGGGUCUGCCUUCAGUGAUAUUCAGACCCUUACAUUAUAUAGCAGAUGAAUAGUAGCUACAGUUUCCUGAUGUAAGUGUGAAGUUACAGAAACAAACAUCAUAUUUUGUGUCCAGGAAGCUCUUUCAAUUGGGAAGACCCCAUCUUUCAAGGGGUCAUAUAGUGAAUAAUGGAUGUUAGAAGCUAUCCAUCUUGAUUCAAGGAGGUAUAGCUUGAGUGGAGGAGGAGGGAGAGGACAAAGGGGUGGUAGAAAAGAAAAGGAAGAGGAAGAGUGAAAAGAAGAACAAGAAGAGGAACAAGACAACAAGAAGAAGGAGAACAAGAUGAGGAAGGAGGAGGAAGAAAAGGCAGAGCAGAAGAAACUGAAGAGGAAGAGGAGGAGGAAGAGUGUGAGAAGGAAAAGCAGGAGCACACAAUCUAACCCUAAGAGAGGUGCUUAUGGCACUCAAGAUCCACUGGCCAAUCCGGGCCUCUAGGAAGACCCUGCAAUCAGAAGAGGAGGGAUCUUACAGGUGCCUUGUUCCUACAGCAAGUUCAGCUCUCUUGCUGUGGAUGCUUCUAAGGUUGGUAUAGUGUGUUUUGACCUCUUCUGCUGAUUACUUUCCAGGAGUGCAGGCUGAGCUAUUAAGCCUCAUUGUGGUGAGCAUGUGACCACUGUCCCUAACCUGAAUUAUCAGAGGACUGAGAAUGGGGAGGUGGCCAAGUGGCCCUCCUGUGUGCAGGGUGUAAAUUAGCAGCCACCUUUGAGGUUCUUGUGGUCCUAGCCACUAAGUGUUCUUAUGGGUUUCACAUGAAUAACUUCAGUAUGGGAGCCUCAUCUGCACAAACCAUUUGGAGCAAGGAAUUUCAAGUACAGAUGCAUCUUUGGCAAGAUUCCAAAUUCGGAGAUCUUGUUUCUCAGCAUCUGAACUUUUCCUUAAAUAUUACUUGCUUAUUCAAAAUUUCUCUGUUGACCAUUCUCUCUUUAGUACUGUACCCUAUACUUUAAUUGGGAUAUUUGAGUUGUUUCUGUCUAACCUCUUGAGUUCUUCAGAAAUUUUUAAUACUAACCCUACGUAAGAUAAAGCGUUAGUGAAUAUUCUGUUUCAAUCUUUAGGCUGCUGUUUUGUCCUACUGACAGUGACCUUUACUUUAAAGAUAUUUUGUAGUUUCAUGAAGUCCCACUUUUCAAUUGCUGAUGUUGGUGCCUGAACCGUUGCCAUUCUUUUAAGGAAAUUGCGUCUUGAGUACUUGUGUCUGAUAUUAUGUUGAGGUCCUUGAUUCAAUAGGAUUGUGGUUGAUGUUUACAUGUGUUCUUGGCUUCAGUUUGGUGUGUGUGUGUGUGUGUGUGUGUGUGUCUGUUGUGGCUCCAUUUUCAUUGAAUUCUGGAAAGUCUAUAAUUACUUUCUUAUUUCUUCACUGACAUGGUGAUCAGAGCAAAAAGAAUAUUUAGUUUGAGAGAAGUUUUAGGCUAUCUGUUCUGUUCAUGGACAGAAGUUUCCCUACUACAGCUGUGUGUUUUUCACCUUCCCACUGCGGAAGUUGUUGCUAGGUAAUGAUAGUGCUCCAAAAUCAUUUUCAUCCAUUUCCUUCUUUUCUCCCAGUGUCAGGAGUCUCUAGGUAGCAGCUGCAGUUGUCCUGAUACCAUCGUGAAGUCACAGAAACAAAUGCCAUAUUUUGUAACCUAAAUCUCUUUUUAAUUGGAGUCUUCUUAGAACAGUUUUCCUGUGAAUGUGAUAGUUCACCCUCCUGCAAGUUGAAUAGUGUAUUGUGAAAUAUAUCCACCUUGAUUCCUGGAGGAAGAAGAGAAGAUGCCUGCUGAGUGCUAAUGCUGUCUUCAAUUUAGAUUGUAACCAUAGUAUAAAUACAAGUAAGCAUAACCAUAGUAACUAUAAGUAUUGAAGAAAAGUAUAAGUUGAUAAUGAAUCUUAUUUGCAAGAAAAAAUGUUGAAGCGCUAUCUCUUUUAAUGUGUUAUUGCAUUCUUAGAGAGAAACACUUAUUCAGAACAAUUUUCUCAGAACCACAAUGAGUUCCAGACAACUGUCGCAGUAGGUAUGGCUGGUUGCUUCUAAACCUCAUGACAUAAUUUCAGUUUCCAAUAGACGCAUAUUAUCUAUGAAUUCUUUUCUCAUUUCUAUAGUUAGAGUCUGGCAUAGGUAUGUCACCCACUGGCAGUAUAUAAAACAUUAAACAAAAUAAGGAACAAUGAUGUCACUUGAAGCUAAAAGCAUACUUGGAUCUUUUCUGUAGAAUGCACAUAGUGGAAGUGGACAAUAGACACCUGUAAGAUGCUUUUUUCUCACUGCUACCUAUACCCAUGGCACAGGUGUAUAUGCACAAACAUAGUUGAUGUUGGGAGCGGCUAAAGAUGACACUGACAUCUGGUGGUUGUUUGUGGUAUACAACCAUUAUAGCCAUGUCCCUGGCCUUCUUCUGGCAUUUACAAGGCCAUGGUGAUAUGCAUGCUAAUAAGGUAUUUCAUACUCCACCAGUCCCCAGAGGACAUUUUCACAGCCACUGUCUGUCUUGUACUUAAGGCAAGUGCCUUUGUUCCCAGUUCCCCCAUAUCAAGAAUGAGGUGUUCCUGCAAUAAAGGCUGU
Molecule: long non-coding RNA, 2606 nt
Organism: Rattus norvegicus (Norway rat)
Lineage: Eukaryota; Metazoa; Chordata; Mammalia; Rodentia; Muridae
Source: Ensembl